Molecule: ribosomal RNA, 464 nt
Filed under: uncultured bacterium
Lineage: Bacteria
Description: partial 16S ribosomal RNA
Rfam family: Bacterial small subunit ribosomal RNA
Source: RNAcentral
GACGAACGCUGGCGGCGUGCUUAACACAUGCAAGUCGAGCGGUAAGGCCUCUUCGGGGGUACACGAGCGGCGAACGGGUGAGUAACACGUGGGUGACCUGCCCUCAGUUCUGGGAUAAGCCUGGGAAACUGGGUCUAAUACCGGAUAUGACCACAUGUUGCAUGGUGUGUGGUGGAAAGUUUUUUCGGCUGGGGAUGGGCCCGCGGCCUAUCAGCUUGUUGGUGGGGUGAUGGCCUACCAAGGCGACGACGGGUAGCCGGCCUGAGAGGGCGACCGGCCACACUGGGACUGAGACACGGCCCAGACUCCUACGGGAGGCAGCAGUGGGGAAUAUUGCGCAAUGGGCGGAAGCCUGACGCAGCGACGCCGCGUGGGGGAUGACGGCCUUCGGGUUGUAAACCUCUUUCGACCGGGACGAAGCGUAAGUGACGGUACCGGUAGAAGAAGCACCGGCCAACUACGUG